GGCGCGGUGGCAGAGUUGGUUAUUGCGUAAGACUAGAAUUAUCAUGUUUCAAAUCUUAUUCCUUCGGGAGCGCAGGUUCGAAUCCUGUCCGCGUCG
Hypoxylon fuscum is the source of this 96-nucleotide non-coding RNA. The record is from the annotation of a GenBank genome assembly. NCBI's taxonomy places the organism in Eukaryota, Fungi, Ascomycota, Sordariomycetes, Xylariales, Hypoxylaceae.